Molecule: transfer RNA, 83 nt
Filed under: Collybia nuda
Lineage: Eukaryota; Fungi; Basidiomycota; Agaricomycetes; Agaricales; Clitocybaceae
Description: Lepista nuda tRNA-Thr
Rfam family: tRNA
About the family: Transfer RNA (tRNA) molecules are approximately 80 nucleotides in length. Their secondary structure includes four short double-helical elements and three loops (D, anti-codon, and T loops).
Source: RNAcentral
UCCCUCUUAGCUCAGCUGGUAGAGCGCGUCACUAGUAUCCUCUAAUAAUGACGAGGUCAGUCGUUCAAGUCGGCUAGAGGGAA